Molecule: transfer RNA, 74 nt
Filed under: Aquimarina sp. MAR_2010_214
Lineage: Bacteria; Pseudomonadati; Bacteroidota; Flavobacteriia; Flavobacteriales; Flavobacteriaceae
Description: tRNA-Lys
Rfam family: tRNA
About the family: Transfer RNA (tRNA) molecules are approximately 80 nucleotides in length. Their secondary structure includes four short double-helical elements and three loops (D, anti-codon, and T loops).
Source: RNAcentral
UGACGUGUAGCUUAAUUGGAUAAAGCACUCGGCUUUUAACCGAGGUUAUGUAGGUUCAAGCCCUACUACGUCAA